CAAUAGCGUAUAUUGAAGUUGUUGCAGUUAAAAAGCUCGUAGUUGGAUUUCUGGUGGGAGCGAUCGGUCUGGCGCUUAGCGCGAGUACUUGCAUCGUCUCCGGCCAUCCUUGGGGAAAGUCUGUCUGGCAUUAAGUUGUCGGGCAGAGGAUCCUCAUCGUUUACUGUGAAAAAAUUAGAGUGUUCAAAGCAGGCUUAUGCCGUUGAAUAUAUUAGCAUGGAAUAAUAAGAUAGGACUUUGGUACUAUUUUGUUGGUUUGCGCACCAAAGUAAUGAUUAAUAGGGACAGUUGGGGGUAUUCGUAUUCCGUUGUCAGAGGUGAAAUUCUUGGAUUUACGGAAGACGAACUACUGCGAAAGCAUUUACCAAGGAUGUUUUCAUUGA
RNAcentral lists this ribosomal RNA (383 nucleotides) under uncultured eukaryote. RNAcentral's name for it is "partial 18S ribosomal RNA". It matches the Rfam family "Eukaryotic small subunit ribosomal RNA", at positions 592 to 976 of the family's 1831-position model. The record is from RNAcentral.